RNAcentral lists this ribosomal RNA (427 nucleotides) under uncultured bacterium. RNAcentral describes it as "bacterial SSU rRNA". It matches the Rfam family "Bacterial small subunit ribosomal RNA", at positions 355 to 774 of the family's 1533-position model. The record is from RNAcentral.
UGGGGAAUUUUGGACAAUGGGCGCAAGCCUGAUCCAGCCAUGCCGCGUGCAGGAUGAAGGCCUUCGGGUUGUAAACUGCUAUUGUACGGAACGAAAAGGUGCCUUCUAAUAAAGGGCGCUCAUGACGGUACCGUAAGAAUAAGCACCGGCUAACUACGUGCCAGCAGCCGCGGUAAUACGUAGGGUGCGAGCGUUAAUCGGAAUUACUGGGCGUAAAGCGUGCGCAGGCGGUUUUGUAAGACAGAGGUGAAAUCCCCGGGCUCAACCUGGGAACUGCCUUUGUGACUGCAAGGCUGGAGUGCGGCAGAGGGGGAUGGGAUUCCGCGUGUAGCAGUGAAAUGCGUAGAUAUGCGGAGGAACACCGAUGGCGAAGGCAAUCCCCUGGGCCUGCACUGACGCUCAUGCACGAAAGCGUGGGGAGCAAACA